UGUAGCUCAGUGGUAAAGCACUUGCCUAGCAAGCAUGAGGCCCGGGGUUUGACUCUCAGCA
RNAcentral lists this transfer RNA (61 nucleotides) under Fukomys damarensis (Damara mole-rat). It matches the Rfam family "tRNA", at positions 6 to 65 of the family's 71-position model. From Rfam's summary of the family: Transfer RNA (tRNA) molecules are approximately 80 nucleotides in length. Their secondary structure includes four short double-helical elements and three loops (D, anti-codon, and T loops). Further hydrogen bonds mediate the characteristic L-shaped molecular structure. tRNAs have two regions of fundamental functional importance: the anti-codon, which is responsible for specific mRNA codon recognition, and the 3' end, to which the tRNAs corresponding amino acid is attached (by aminoacyl-tRNA synthetases). tRNAs cope with the degeneracy of the genetic code in two manners: having more than one tRNA (with a specific anti-codon) for a particular amino acid; and 'wobble' base-pairing, i.e. permitting non-standard base-pairing at the 3rd anti-codon position. Lineage: Eukaryota; Metazoa; Chordata; Mammalia; Rodentia; Bathyergidae. The record is from Rfam by way of RNAcentral.